GCUGUAGCUCAGUGGUAGAGCAUCUGCUUUGCAUGCAGAAGGUCCCAUGUUCAAUCCACAGUGGAAUCU
Podarcis lilfordi (Lilford's wall lizard) is the source of this 69-nucleotide non-coding RNA. The record is from the annotation of a GenBank genome assembly. NCBI's taxonomy places the organism in Eukaryota, Metazoa, Chordata, Lepidosauria, Squamata, Lacertidae.